UACAGAGGGUGCGAGCGUUAAUCGGAAUUACUGGGCGUAAAGCGUGCGUAGACGGCUAUCUAAGUCGGGUGUGAAAGCCCCGGGCUCCAACCUGGGAAUUGCAUUUCGAGACUGAAUAGCUAGGGUACGGUAGAGGGAAGUGGAAUUUCCGGUGUAGCGGGUGAAAUGCGUAGAUAUCGGAAGGAACAUCAGUGGCGAAAGCGACUUCCUGGACCAGUACCGACGUUCAGGCACGAAAGCGUGGGGAGCAA
Molecule: ribosomal RNA, 251 nt
Filed under: uncultured bacterium
Lineage: Bacteria
Description: partial 16S ribosomal RNA
Rfam family: Bacterial small subunit ribosomal RNA
Source: RNAcentral